GUGCCGGCACCCACCACUUGCCGUGGGACACCGGGAUUGAGUCGUACACGCGCCGCUCCUCCUUGGUCAUCAGGCCUGCCGGAAAGCAAAAUUCAGCCAUUGUGAGUCAUCUGUCACAUGAUUUGGAUCUCGGACUCGGGGAUGGUAUGGUGCCGACUCACCGUCGUCUCAGUGAAUUGUGCAUGACACGGAGUGGAUGUUCUCGCGGAUAAUGGAUAAUUAAGGACGCAAAGCUGGGUUCCGAGUAUGUGGACAACGGCGGCUAAUGCGAACUCCGCGACAAGGCUUACGCGCGAGAAUGGUGCUUGGGCUCAGUUCUUGGAAAUCAUCCGGACGGAAGAGACAUCGCCCGUAUUCUGCGGGACCUCGUGGUCGUCCAAUUAAAAUUGCACGCGCUCAUGAAGCUGUUCGGAGAAAGCUCGCGCUGGGCUCACAAAACACUCCAUUUCCCGCUACUGCACGCUAACGUAGAAAAUUGAAAGUUACGAAGAAAAAAAUAAUUCACAGCAUAUCCACGGGUGAAUGAUGAACAGCUUGGGCGAAGCUCCUGAAGCAAUCAUGGUUACACCGUGAAAUCUUCAGUGGUUUCGCCCAGCAGUAAUCAAAGCGAUAGCCCAGUACAUCAAAGACGUGACAAACACUGUAUAUAUUUAUACAAGAAAUUUUAUUAAUCGUAAGUGGUAGCUAGACGUGGCUUCCGUUCCCCCUUCAUUAUAACGGCUUUAUGGUCGGUGAAGUGAUGGAUCGGUGAUGGGUCGU
Long non-coding RNA from Rhipicephalus sanguineus (brown dog tick), 759 nucleotides. RefSeq lists it as uncharacterized. The transcript is spliced from 3 exons. Lineage: Eukaryota; Metazoa; Arthropoda; Arachnida; Ixodida; Ixodidae. The record is from RefSeq and is a predicted model, not a curated record.